GAUGAACGCUAGCGGGAGGCCUAACACAUGCAAGCCGAGCGGUAUUGUUUCUUCGGCAAUGAGAGAGCGGCGUACGGGUGCGUAACACGUGUGCAACCUGCCUUUAUCUGGGGGAUAGCGUUUCGAACGGAAGAUUAAUUCUCCAUAAUAUAUUGAACGGCAUCGUUUAAUAUUGAAAGCUCCGGCGGAUAGAGAUGGGCACGCGCAAGAUUAGCUAGUUGGUGAGGUAACGGCUCACCAAGGCGCUGAUCUUUAGGGGGCAUGAGAGGGUGAUCCCCCAGACCGGUACCACGACACAGACCAGAAUCCUACGGGGGGGAGGAGUGUGGAAGAUUGGUCAAGGAAUGCAAGCCUGAACCAGCCAUCCCGCGGGAAGGACGACUGCCGUAGGGGAUGUAAACUUCUUGUGAAUAAGGAUAAACCUAUCCUCGAGAGGGGAGCUGAAGGUACUAAAAGAAUAAGCACCGGCUAACUCCGUG
RNAcentral lists this ribosomal RNA (479 nucleotides) under uncultured bacterium. Its description in RNAcentral is "partial 16S ribosomal RNA". It matches the Rfam family "Bacterial small subunit ribosomal RNA", at positions 28 to 507 of the family's 1533-position model. The record is from RNAcentral.